This 88-nucleotide transfer RNA is filed under the name Prevotellaceae bacterium. Its description in RNAcentral is "tRNA-Ser". It matches the Rfam family "tRNA". From Rfam's summary of the family: Transfer RNA (tRNA) molecules are approximately 80 nucleotides in length. Their secondary structure includes four short double-helical elements and three loops (D, anti-codon, and T loops). Lineage: Bacteria; Pseudomonadati; Bacteroidota; Bacteroidia; Bacteroidales; Prevotellaceae. The record is from RNAcentral.
GGAGAAAUGGCCGAGUGGUCGAAGGCGCGCGCUUGGAGAGCGUGUAUACUCCAAAAGGGUAUCAGGGGUUCGAAUCCCUUUUUCUCCG